Molecule: ribosomal RNA, 774 nt
Filed under: uncultured Neocallimastigales
Lineage: Eukaryota; Fungi; Neocallimastigomycota; Neocallimastigomycetes; Neocallimastigales
Description: partial large subunit ribosomal RNA
Rfam family: Eukaryotic large subunit ribosomal RNA
Source: RNAcentral
CGUCUAUAUACGUAUAGCAUAUCAAUAAGCGGAGGAAAAGAAACUAACAAGGAUUCCCUUAGUAACGGCGAGUGAAGCGGGAAGAGCUCAAAUUUGAAAUCUUCAAGGUUCUACCUUGACGAAUUGUAGUUUAAAGAAGUGUUUUCUGUUAGAGGAGUAGCAAAGUUCCUUGGAAUGGGACAUCAUAGAGGGUGAGAAUCCCGUAUUUGGUUAUUCUUUCUAGCUUUGUGAUACACUUUCAAAGAGUCGGAUUGUUUGGGAAUGCAGUCCAAAAUGGGUGGUAAAUUUCAUCUAAAGCUAAAUAUUGGCGAGAGACCGAUAGCGAACAAGUACCGUGAGGGAAAGAUGAAAAGAACUUUGAAAAGAGAGUUAAACAGUACGUGAAAUUGUCAAAGGGAAGCGUUUGACACCAGUGUUGUUUUUCCGAAAAUCAAUUAAGAACUGGCUUGAUUUUGUGUUGUAUUGACCUUAUCAGCUUUCUUCACUCUUUUUCGAGUCUUUCUUAAUGCACUUUUCGGUUAACAAGUCAACAUCAAUUUCUUUUGUUGUAAAAGGGUAUUUGGAAGGUGGCUUUCCUUUCGGAGAAAGUGUUUAUAGCCUUAUACCUCUACAAUCGGAGAGAUUGAGGUCUGCAGCGUAGAUCCUUCGGGGCUAGAUACACUUGUGCUAAGUUAUAGCUUUUCAUAGACAACUUGUUGACUAUGUUUAGUCAUGUAGCUUACCCGCUUGUGCUAUUUUACCUACGCUUAGGAUGUUGAGUCAUCACACAUCUCU